AAAAACAGCGCCUUUUGAUGACUUCACGCGGGGUCGUGGGGACGCCCAGACGCCGCCAGGGAUGCCACGCGCUGAGAGCAGCGCGCAGCGACGGCAGCAGCAGGAAAAGUGGGGAAAGGCCCAAUUAUGGUUUUCAGAAUGAGCUCUGCCAAGCUUUAACCUGAAGACAUGUUACUUUCCACAAGAAACCGAACAGGCUUGGUUUCACUUUAACAAUAUAAGUAGUGCUAACCCAUGAAGCGGCUUCUAAAAUCAAUAAUAGAUAUGGUAAAAGCGCUCUGGAAAUCUGGCACUAAAACAACAAGCGACUAGCAAUUAACAUUGAUAGCCAGACAGCCCAAUUCUGAUGCGGGGGCCGCGCCAGUGCAUUUUCCCACCAGGCCGGCACAAUUGGCACAUACGCCGAUGGGGAGGGUAAACUGGGAGGAGGGUGGAUGCCACAGAGAUCCAUGGUAACUGACCUGGAAGAACCAUGCUGACCUAAAGCUGGUGGCGGGCUGGGGCAUUCACGGAGGUGGAGCCAACUUUAGUCAGUUUCCACCAGACUUUGGAGCCAGGAAUAACCCUGGCGCAGGCCUUGAACUUAACACCAUCCCAAAGGCCCCCAGAGCCCUUGGAAAUCACUCUUGGAAAGCCUCGCUGAUUUUAUAAACACUUCUAACGCUUGGGUGCUCAAAUGUCAAGGCUUACGUUUUUCAAGAUGCUCAUGCAGACCACUCUCAUUGGAUGUUGGUAAAAAAGUGGGCCCCUUGCUCUUUCCGUUCUUUCCCAACAUCGCCAAGAAAGCUUUGAGUAUUAAAUAGUUAAUAAUUCUUUGUACAACCCAAAUGGCCUUUUCAGGGAUGGAAGCUUGAAGAACUGUAUAGUUUGUCAAAGACUUUCCCGGCUGGAAUCACUGGGGCGUUGUGGGGUUUCCGGGCUGUAUGGCCGUGUUCCAGUAGCAUUUUCUCCUGACGUUUCACCUGCAUCUGUGGCUGAUGCAGGUGAAAUUUCAGGAGAAAAUGCUACUGGAACAUGACCAUACAGCCCAAAAACCCCACAACUGUAUAGUUCUCGUGAGUUCCGGGACAAAGUAGCAAAACUGAGCUUAAAGCAUGCUGCUUUUUAGCAUUCGGGACAAUGAGACAUAGUGGUUUGAUUGUAGAACAUGUACAUUAAAUAACAAGAUUUUAAAAUCUCACUGUAAUGACUUGUGUCCAGUUACUGUAGUGUGUCCCACUGUACUGUGAAUGUCUUAUAUUAAGAUGAAAUUGAUUCUUUUUCUAACUUGCUCUUUUUCAUGUCAGUAUUUUAAAAAAAAACCUAAAACAACGUUGCCUUUUUCAGAGUUUGCUCUGGAUGUUUUGUCUGUCUGAACAAUAGACCUGUACUAUAGGGAUUGGGGGGAGGAGGGUAGUACAUAAUUUCUUCUAGUCUUGCCAGUGGUUUGUUUCAUAUUUUAGGAUGAGGUGAACUUGUAAGACAUUUGCAGGACGGGACAAAUGUUCAGAUAAAUGCAAGACAUUGGGACGCUGCUUUCACACAAUAUUAGCUAAUGUCUACCAAACGGUCCCAACACCAAAGUCUCUUCCAAAGCCCACUUGGGUUCCAGUUUGCACGUCGGGCUCUGGAGAAGUAGAAUUAUACCACUCUUGUCAUUAUUGUCAAAGGUUCCACUUGUGCAGUUGCAAAAUUCCCUUGUUAUUGGAAUCUUUGGACUGGGUACAUCUGGUUGCAGACCCCUGGGUUAAACUUUCUCAGUAGCAUGAAAAUGAAACCGCAAAACAGACUGUAAAAGACCCGGAACAUCUGAAUGCCUCAGCUUUAAAAAAAAAAAAUUAAUGUGUCUGACUCUAAUAUACUCUCUUUUUGUGAGUUCAUGUAUGCUGUUCAAAUGCAGUACUGUUAUGACCACUAAGAUGUAUGUAAAGAUCUCAGCUUUUGUCAAAACUAUUAAACUCGCUCCGGUUAGUUCUGCUGCCUUUAUGGUAACUUCUCAUGGUCUUUUUAACAUACGUGUUUUUAAGAGUGAAAAAAGUGUUUGCUUUUUUUAAAAAAAGAAAAGAAAAUCAGACUCAUCAAAAACAAUUUGAAGUCUGUCUAGUUCCUAAAGUUUUAAAUGUACUAGAUUAAUGCAAAUAAACAUUUUUGUGCAAUUUGGAA
Molecule: long non-coding RNA, 2142 nt
Organism: Sphaerodactylus townsendi
Lineage: Eukaryota; Metazoa; Chordata; Lepidosauria; Squamata; Sphaerodactylidae
Exons: 2
Source: RefSeq, a predicted model, not a curated record